This 164-nucleotide ribosomal RNA is filed under the name Goodenia kakadu. RNAcentral's name for it is "5.8S ribosomal RNA". It matches the Rfam family "5.8S ribosomal RNA". Rfam says of the family: 5.8S ribosomal RNA (5.8S rRNA) is a component of the large subunit of the eukaryotic ribosome. It is transcribed by RNA polymerase I as part of the 45S precursor that also contains 18S and 28S rRNA. Functionally, it is thought that 5.8S rRNA may be involved in ribosome translocation. The record is from RNAcentral. Lineage: Eukaryota; Viridiplantae; Streptophyta; Magnoliopsida; Asterales; Goodeniaceae.
CAAACGACUCUCGGCAACGGAUAUCUCGGCUCAUGCAUCGAUGAAGAACGUAGCGAAAUGCGAUACUUGGUGUGAAUUGCAGAAUCCCGUGAACCAUCGAGUUUUUGAACGCAAGUUGCGCCCGAAGCCAUUCGGCCAAGGGCACGUCUGCCUGGGCGUCACAC